Molecule: non-coding RNA, 108 nt
Filed under: bovine gut metagenome
Description: THF riboswitch
Rfam family: THF (Tetrahydrofolate) riboswitch aptamer
About the family: THF riboswitch presents a pseudoknot that joins P1-P2 and the loop of P3 and two THF binding.
Source: RNAcentral
CAGAGUAAAAUUCCAAGCGUGUGCCAAACGGCACGAAGUGUCUGCCGAACGGGGAGUUGUCGGCGGAACGAAAGAGAAAUCUGCGGUUUGGGGUUUGCAUCCCGCUGU